ACUGCGGCCGGUGAGGUCGAGCUUGCAUGCAUGGAUAAUGUUCCACAUCUACUAAUAAUUGGCUUAUCCAACAGCUAACAGUAAUUAUCUAUCCGUGUCUUGCGCGCACAAAUUAACCCAAUCACUUGUGGCCGGGCGCGAGUGAGUCUAUCCCCUUCCCGGACGCAGAGCACAUGGCACAAAACUUAUCUAUGUAACCAUGAAAAUUACACGUACAUACCCGCAAAAAAAAAAAAUUACACGUACAUAUAUACAGUAGAACAUUGUGUCGAUUCUCAGCCUGAUCGAUACCUCGUCAUGGUCGACUACGC
Molecule: long non-coding RNA, 311 nt
Filed under: Brachypodium distachyon (stiff brome)
Lineage: Eukaryota; Viridiplantae; Streptophyta; Magnoliopsida; Poales; Poaceae
Description: long non-coding RNA (BDIS_LNC002458)
Source: RNAcentral